UACGAAGGGUGCAAGCGUUACUCGGAAUUACUGGGCGUAAAGCGUGCGUAGGCGGUUCGUUAAGUCUGUCGUGAAAGCCCUGGGCUCAACCUGGGAAUUGCGAUGGAUACUGGCGAGCUAGAGUACGGUAGAGGAUGGUGGAAUUCCCGGUGUAGUGGUGAAAUGCGUAGAGAUCGGGAGGAACACCCGUGGCGAAGGCGGCCAUCUGGACCAGCACUGACGCUGAGGCACGAAAGCGUGGGGAGCAAACAGG
This 253-nucleotide ribosomal RNA is filed under the name uncultured bacterium. Its description in RNAcentral is "partial 16S ribosomal RNA". It matches the Rfam family "Bacterial small subunit ribosomal RNA", at positions 524 to 776 of the family's 1533-position model. The record is from RNAcentral.